GUGGUUAGGGCGUUCUUGAAGGGCAUGGAAGAGGCCAGCAAGUUGCUGCCUAGAAACAACAGCUUCAGAAUGCUGGAGACGGUGGAUCAAGUAUCAAGUCAUGGUCAUUGUAGGGGAGGAAAGAAGAAAAACCAUGACAGGGAUGAGCAGCAGCUGGAGGAGGAACUGGGGAGGAGCAGUAAAUUAGCUGCCAUGACGAAUGCAGGGACGGAGGAGGCUGGUGCUCGCGAGUUGCUGGACGAACUGAUGCUGCACUCGCACGAGACAUGCAUCAAAGACAUGGAGAAGCUGCGCAUCGACAUGGACAAUGAGGCAGAUAAGACCAUCAAAAAGAAGGGCAAGAAAGGCAGUAGUAGCAAGGUGGUGGACUUACGGAUGCUGCUGAUCCAGUGUGCACAGGCCAUGGCGACAGACAACCAGCAAUCUGCAGGCGAGCUGCUGAAGAAGAUCAAGCAGCACGCUUUGGCAACA
This 471-nucleotide long non-coding RNA is filed under the name Oryza sativa (Asian cultivated rice). Its description in RNAcentral is "long non-coding RNA (OSAT_LNC000070)". Lineage: Eukaryota; Viridiplantae; Streptophyta; Magnoliopsida; Poales; Poaceae. The record is from RNAcentral.